This 68-nucleotide transfer RNA is filed under the name Marmota monax (woodchuck). Its description in RNAcentral is "tRNA.Ala". The record is from RNAcentral. Lineage: Eukaryota; Metazoa; Chordata; Mammalia; Rodentia; Sciuridae.
GGAUUGUGGCUCAGUGGUAGAGCACUCACCUAGCAUGCCAUAUGCCCUGGUUUCGAUCCUCAACACCA